AUUCAAUUCACGAGUCCCAAAUAGAACGAAACCCGCGUCCUGAAU
This 45-nucleotide non-coding RNA is filed under the name Schistosoma mansoni. Lineage: Eukaryota; Metazoa; Platyhelminthes; Trematoda; Strigeidida; Schistosomatidae. The record is from RNAcentral.